AACGUAGGACGCGAACGUUAUCCGGAGUUACUGGGCGUAAAGAGCGCGCGGGCGGUAUGUUAAGUUACCUAUGAAAGUUACAGGCUAAACUUGUAAUAGUUAGGUAAGACUGGCGUACUAGAGAGGAAUAGAGGGGAGCGGAAUUCCGGGUGUAGUGGUGAAAUGCGUAGAUAUCCGGAGGAAUACCGGUGGCGAAGGCGGCUUCCUGGAUUUUUUCUGACGCUGAGGCGCGAAAGCGUGGGUAGCGAACGGG
RNAcentral lists this ribosomal RNA (253 nucleotides) under uncultured bacterium. Its description in RNAcentral is "partial 16S ribosomal RNA". It matches the Rfam family "Bacterial small subunit ribosomal RNA", at positions 524 to 776 of the family's 1533-position model. The record is from RNAcentral.